RNAcentral lists this transfer RNA (95 nucleotides) under Burkholderia paludis. RNAcentral describes it as "tRNA-Arg". Lineage: Bacteria; Pseudomonadati; Pseudomonadota; Betaproteobacteria; Burkholderiales; Burkholderiaceae. The record is from RNAcentral.
UGUUUUGCGCGCGGGGUUUUUCUGCGCGAUGUCCUGGCGGCGGGCGCGGCGGCGAGGUCUGUCGCGUCCUUCGCGCGCGGCGCGCGGCGGGGCGU